AAGAAUGAUAAGGUCACCACUGAGACUCCUUUUCUCCAGGCUAAACACCCUCAGCUGCCUCAGCUACUCCUCACAGGACUUGUGCUCCAUUCCCUUCACCAGCUUUGUUGCCCUUCUCUGGACAACUUGGCUCACCUCAGCCUGACCUCUCCAGCCCAGCUGAGUUUGGUUCAGUUUGACCCAGGGGAGCCUGGAUCGGCACAGCUCCUUGUCAUGGCUGAUGAGACCCAUAGGAAGAAUUUCCAUACCACGACGCCAUGUGUCCAGUGGGGGAUCUGGCAGCCAGUUGGUAAAAGAAGAGCCCAGGGAGCCAGUGUUGGCCCCACAGCAGCGUGUCCUGAGGUGAUGGGGCUCCUCAGCCCAUACAUCUGGUUUCUCACCACCCUUGUGUUCUUCCCACUGCACCUUCCCCUCGUGAGAGCUCAAAUCGACAUGUAACCAUGUUCAGCAUUGCUAUGGGGUCUGUGCUGGCAUUCUGGUAGCAUCGUGCAGCUUAUUUUGUAGGCCAGUUUAAAUGUUUUUUUGCUGCAGUGAACAGUGCCACAACUGUAAACACUCUCUCAACUCGUGACUAUAGCUACACCUUGACGUCUGCCCUCAGGACUUGUUUGGUCCACAGAGGAGGGGAUGCUCUGUGAUCAGGCAAUCCUGGGAGAAGAAAUGUGUCUGUCCCACCCAAGCUCAUCACCUUGACCUUCCAACUUCCAUAGGCCCCUCCCGUUGAAGCAUCCCUUUCCCAUUGCAGGAAUAGAAAUGGACACUUGGAGAAAAAUCUGUGGACUGCUAGUAAUGCAAUGAAGGCAAGAGCUGAUGAAAGCUUUGAGGUCUUCCUUCUGGGCAGUCACUCCCAGGGAGAAGCAGCAUAUCCUUUGGAGGUGGUACCAGAAUCCACUGCUUUGGGGGCAUUACAAUGUUAUAGUGAUGCUCCUGCCACUGCCAGAGGUUUGACCAUAACACCAGACAAUAUAUGAGAGUACAAGCCUUCUUUCCAACCCUUGGCAGCCCAUGGCAUGCUCUUUUGGGUGGAAAUGCUGCCUAUAUCCCCACCCCCUUUCCACCCAUUCAUUCCUCUGCAAAGCAUAGUUUGUCACCCCCGCGGCUGUGCUAAUGCACCCCCCGAGCUGAGGAGUGACACUGCUGGAUCUGCUGAAUGGUCCCAGCUAAUAAUACCCCCCAAUACCUCUUUAUUUUGGAAAGUUAUUCAAGGAUCCAACUUGCAGAAUGGCAUGAUAAACAUCUUGGCAAAGCUGAGUUGGCAGCAAAAGGAAGUGUCAGGGCAGGAGUAAAUGGUUAGGGACAAGGAAAUGGCAGGAACGUCUUCAGCUGCUGUACAAUAAAAGACCAGAAGUAAUGAUUUGACACAUUUCUACCCAUCCUAUGUCUUUUUUUUUUUUUUCCAAAUGAUGUUGUGAUCGCACAGACCUCUAACAUCCUUAAAACCUUUCAUGCCAAAAAUUUCCGUGGUCAGCAGGAACAUCAAUGCACCUGAAGUGGGAAGUGUGGCAUUUAGCAAUUGGUUACUACAGAAGCAGAAUAAGGGCAGAGUUAUGGCCGUAUGAAAAACCCAGGGCACAAUCUUGUAAUUAAAAGGCCAUCAUAAUGCAUGUACCACUGAGGAGGACUGGGUAUUAAUCACUGUCUGAUUAAUACUUGAGAGCUUGUCUGUGUGAUCUGGAUGUAUUUUUAUGUGCUCGCGUUGUGUAUGCACGUAUUUGGCCCAGUGGUGAGAAGCAAAUGUGUCUGAGGCUUGGAAGCUGAAGUUUCACUUGAUCUGGCUUCUUGAGUCAUUUCCUGUGGAUUUGCAAGAUCUCAUAUUUGAUCUCUGCUUUCACUGUCCUACUAAUUUAGAAGCUGCUGAGCGAUGUAUUCUCUGAAUGAUUUCUCUCCCUCUUGGUAUUACUUUCAUGCCGAUAGAUACUCAAUUUUAUUUCUCUGAUAUUCAGGUUACUGUGCCGGUUCUUGCGAGUGGUGCAUUCGAGAUGACUGACUUUUCUGAAUGAAAAGGCUCCCUCUCAGAGGUGUGAUUUCUGUUUGUGCCUUGUGUUGUUUGUAUACAGAGUUUCUGCUCAGACACAGAAUAGUGCUUCCCUGUGAUGUGUUCAUUACAGUACCUAGAAUUAAUUAGCUAUGGGUGGCAGAGCUUCAAGGCAGCAGCUCCUGCAUACUAACGAUUUGCAUGCUGUGACUGUCCUGUGUUUUGUAUUCAAAAGAAACAUUUAUUUUGCAAAGUAAUGCUUUAGCUGUUGCAGAGAAUCUGGCAUAUGGAUCUCGUUUCUGCUUGGAUUGGAAUGGACUUCCCUGAGUGCUGUUACACCUUUAGCUACCACUUAUUUAGGGUGAGAAGUAGCUGGAAUUUGAAGUGGCAAACUUCAGGAUGGCAUUUACUGCAGGCUUGCAACGUAACCUCCUACCUUCACUUACUCUUGCUUGUAAAACCUUUGAGCUGAAGUCUUCCACACUGUUGAUUUAGGAACCUAAAUAUGAAUGUUGGUACCCUGUUGACUGUGCUGAAUUCAAUGAUUUUUCCACUGACUCACUCGGUGACUUUGAAUGAGUGAGGAGUGGAAGUCAGCAGUCCUGAAUCAUGCCAUCCUCCAGACAAUUACCCCCCUCACCGAUAAUUCUUUCGAGCAGCAAUCAUAUUUUAAAAGCAAUGAUUGCAUCUGUGUUUUCCCCCAUUAUAAUCACUCAGAAUUUAAGAGCCACAGAAACAAUCUGCAACAUUUGCAGUCAGCUUGAAAUCUUUCAGUUGACACUUUUUGGGAGGUCAGAGACUGUGGAAAUACUAAGGGUUCUUUUCAGCAGGAGUGGGAUUUCAGCAUACCUUUGGAGAAUUGGUUUGGAGAAUUGUCAGGAUCAUUUCAGGCACCUGCCAGGGGAAGAGAAGGUGGAGAACUCCUUGCAGUCUUCCCAGGAUGUCGUUUUGGAGGGUGGUAAGAUCAGAGCAGGAAAGCAGAAAGGACCCUCACUGCCAGAUGAACUGGUUUGCUCAAGAACUGACUAUGCCACUGUUUUCCAGUUUUUAUUUCUUUGUAACUCUGUGUUUUACUAGGGCUGAAAGUGGCAACAAAUCUUAGGAGAUCUCUUGUGCUGUUGCCUGUGUGAUUUUUCAGGACACCAAGGGAUCAACCUGGGCAACAGCAAUGACUGUGCUGGUGUCUGGGAAGGCAUUGACCAGUGCAUGCAGUCAGCCAUGAGUCACUCGUGUGGGACAAAUCUGCUGUCAUUUGUAGCUGAUUUCACGAAACCAUGCGCUCUCCUUCACCCUCUCCCAAAAUACAAACAAAGUUUAUUGAAAUGAGGAGACUGUGAAGAAAAGGGGUCUUUUCAAAACCCUUGCUUUCUCACUGGGCACUCCGUUGCCCUCGUAAUAUUCAGCAGUAUGUGAUUUAUAGCUCCCCUGACACGAUGGUUUGGUGUUUCCUUUGUGUGCAUAACUUCCUUUUGAUAUAAAGGGAUGAUAACAAACCUAAACUGUAAUCUCACUAGCACAUGACACAUUGUCUUUGUGGUGCAGAUGGCAGGAAAAUGCUCUGAUCUUGAGUUCAGCACUUCAGCCUUCCCACCCCCACCCCAAAUUCCACCCUGGUAACAGGGUGGGCAUUAGCAAGUUUAGUGAGACAGCAGUGUUGGUGGGGGCGAUUCCUUCAGAUGCAGUGAUGCAGGAUGAUGGUUUUGGGAGUCCCACUGGAGUUGAGUUCCUGGUAUGGACUCAGCAAGAGAUGGGUGCACAGCUGCUUCUUUAUCUUCUUCUUACCUUUUUGUGCUGAAUGACUAGAAGGAAAAACUGCUACAAAACCUUCACUUACCGCUGUCAGUCCCCCAGCAGAGCUUUCCUUCUGUGCAUUCCCAACUCAACGUGCCCUGGCCCAUCAAAUCAAAAAAAUAAUGUGCACGAACUCUGCAACUGUCACGGCAACCUCAGGAUUAGUCCUAAAGCCGGGCUACUUUUGGCAUGAGGGAAGGGCUGCUCUUCUCUUGAGAUGCCUUUCCACCCUUGAGAGGUUUCUGCAUUUUUGAUACAGCUGCUUCCAGAGCCUCAUGGGAGCUGAACAAACAGAUGUCAAAUACUCUGUUCUUACUUCAGGGAGCACAAAAGUGGAUGGGUCUGGGAUAAACACUGGAGCUGUGCACACCUUUUCCUCCCCUCCUCGGGGAUUAUUUGAAUUAGGCUUGAACCCUUAAGUGUAUUUCAAAAAGUUGCCUUCUGAUGGCCAAAAUUCACUUGGGUGUUCCUCCCUGUCUUGCACAGCUAUUGUGAGACCAACCCUUCUGAACACUCAUGUCCCCUUUAUUGCAAAACUCUUUGAUUGGCCUCAGCAGGUGACACAACGGACAGUUGACUACUUACUUUAGCAAAACCAGUUUUCAUGGCUUGACCUCCUUUUCUGACCCAGUGUCUUGCUGUGAGUAGAGGGUCCUAUUCAGUUUCUGAGCAGUUGUAAUUGCAGGAUUACCCAGUCCAGGCCCAGCCGUGGGAGAAACCCCCCCACAGGCAUUGAUCAGGAAAGGCUUCUGGAGUUAAAUUAAGCUUUUGAAAUAUGGAAAUGAGGACAUGGCUUAGUCAGGCGUUCAGUGGCAUAUGAUGCACAGGGGAAAUGAGUUAUAUGCACCCUAUUUGUGUCCCUCUGAACCCAGCCCUCAGCUUCAGGGCUGCUCGGUGACAUGACCCAUGCAGAACUUUAAAGAUGCUUGACAAUGUUUGAUUUCAAAGGGUGCCAGUCCACCCUCUUCUCCAGGCAGAUAUUUUUCCUUGUGUCAACAUCCUCAUAACAACUCCAGCUAGGCAAAUAUAGCACAUGGCUUAUGAGUGUCCUGGAAGGACUCAGAGGUGGAGAGUUAGAGCUAAAGAAGGUUCAUGGUUAACCCCAUGCACCACUGAAUAGCUUUUCCAGGGAUAAAUCACAGCACAUGAUGAAGAAGCUGGGAGGAGAGUUUAAUGGUCCUGCAGAGAGCACCACCUUAGACAGCCAUCCCUCAAGAUAUUCCCAAGGAUUCUCAUGGAAAAUAAUCCUACGCUCCUUUUAUGUCCUUGUAAUCACACACAUAUUAUGCUUCCCUGCCCUGUUCUAAGGAGAAAGGUAAUUAGUCACUCCACACAAACCUUUUGGGACUAUGCCUAUACUCCAGUAUGGAAUACAGCUCUGUCUAGAAGGGAAUAAAAAUGCACAACUCUGCUCUGUGUGUGGUUAUUAACAGAAGCUGCCAUUCGCAGGAACUGGGUGCAAGGCCUUCCACGUGCUCCCUGCCAGCUGCAUCUCCAGCAGCAUUGGCUGCCAGGCUUAACAAAGCCCAGAAAUGGAAGCCCAGGUUAUGAGAGCUUCACACCUGUAACGCCAAAAGCACAGGCUUGACUCCUGCUCACAAAACUCCCUUGUUUUAGAUAGCAGGCUCUCCAGUUUCUUAGAGAGGAAAAAAAAAAAAAAAGAAGAAAGGCUGGUUAUUGCUGGGUGUGUGUUCUGACCUUAAAAGCUGAAAGUAAAAACUCUUCCAGAUAUGGGGUGUGCUGAAGUGGCAGCUGAAGGGCUUUUUUUGUUCGUUCUACAGUUAAUACCAUCAUGCUAAAAUUGCACAGGGAGGAGUGGGGGUUAAUUUAAGAUUUAGUGUGACCAAAAAGAAUUAUUUAAAAAACAACAAAUGGACGACAUUCUGAAAAAUAAGCUUGAUUUCCAUAGUCAGGAGUACUUGACUUAAGUUGCAGGGACUGUGAAGGAAGCCUCCUGGAUCCAUGGCAGGUAAACAUUUGCUUUUGACUCUGUUUUUCUCUUCAAGUGUAGAAACCCCAGCAUUUACACUUAAAUGGAUGUGCUGUAAGCUAUGUUUAGGAAGAGAAUUUCAUCCCCUCCUGCACGUACUUUUAACACAUGAUAAUUAUUUGACUGCAGCUUUACAAAGUAUGGCUGGAGGGAUGGUUUGUAAGGGAGGAGUUACAUGGCACUGAUAACUGCCUGACUCAGCCCCACUGAAGGCAGUGGCAGCAGGAUCAGGCCAUCCAGAAGAGAUAUUUUAUUUUAAAUGUCAAUUAUGUACCUUCAGUGGCUUAUGGUAAAUUCCUGCCUCCUGAUUUCACGCGUUGGAGAACACGUGUAUGCUGGAGUGAUGAAUGUCUUCAGGGUCACGUGUUCAAUGUGGACAGGAAUCUCUGCAUUUUAUAACCUUUUUUUUAAAAAAAAAAACAAACCAGGGAGCCAGAGAGCUUAUGAAGAUGAUGUUUUGGUGACUGAUACCAUCGGUUUUGUCUUCAUCAAACAUAUCACAGAGUCUGUGCUCUUCCUUUAUUUUUUGCUUUCUGCUUCUUCUCUCCCACCUGAUCUGUUCCUUCUAUACAAGAGGAGCGAUAGUCCAAGAUUCAUCAAGGGGGGAAAAAUUGCCCUAACCACAUGUCCAGAUGCAUUACCUUGCAUAUGACUGGUUCUGCUUGUGCCGAAGCCAUUGCCACAUUACCAGUAUUUAAUUUAUUAUUGCACAAAAUGCUCUGGAUAGCUGUGACAUUAAAAAGGUUUUUAUAAAUUGGUUGUUGCUCAGCUCUGAAGAGAUUUGGGUCUUUUCUUUGAUGUUUCUCGGUCUAAGAAAGUGAAAGCUCUCCUACAAGACUUGAUCAAAGUCCUGUGAGAUGGCAGUCUGAAUUUUGGCCCUUCCUCUCUUGGAGGAAAGCAAACCAGGACAAGUCUUUGUCUUCUUGAAAGAAACAUGGAUAACUGUCUUCUUUAAAAUCCUGUGAGGAUGGAAAGCAGAGGUUAUUUUCACCUUCCUGUAGAAAGGUCAACUCUGUCCCCUCUGCAGAUGGACUUAACCUCCCCAAGUAACAGGAUGAGCAAGGCACCUUUUGAGAAGGGUCACCAGAGCCUGUUGCUUUGUGCUUUCUGAAGAAUGCUAGCAGUGGAAAGGGCUUCAUGCCACUACCAUACAGCUGUCACCAAAAUCACAGCCAGAGGUUUAUUUGAUCAUAAAAUCUGCUACAGCAGGAAGCAGUGGAAGCUCUGCAGUAACUUACUUUGCUGCACACAGCUACCCCAACAGGGGCUUUGACCUUUAAACAAUGGCACUUUGUUAUAUAGAAUUUUCUUAUGUUAAUUUUCCAAGUAUUGAGGGGAAGAGGAUCACUGAGAAACAGGAGAUCUUGAAAAAAAAUUUAAAAAAUGUAAUAAAUCAUAUAUUGUGACUUUUGAUAUAAUUAGUACAUCCAUGUAAUAACGUCUGGUAUGACUAGUCUUCAUUCGUAUCCUUCACAAUCAUUUGUAGGGGUGAAGAGUGUUGCUCUUCCAUUACAGCAGAAGAAAUCACAGCCUGAGGAGAUACCCAGGUGUCAGGGAGAGGACUUGAACUCAUGAGCAUUUGGGAGUCAUCUAGGACAGGAAAACAACAUCUACUCGAGUUUAAUUCCCUGUGCUUUUUUAUGUGUGUCUAGUUGCUUGGCUGUGAGUGGUAUUUAAAUCCCCUGAGCCCCUCCGUUCCCUUGUAAUUUACUAUCAGAAAGGACAGAAAUAAAUUCUAACAUGUUUGUGAGACAUAUCAGAAUUACUUCAAACUUAAGAGAAUUUUGGAGUAAACUUAAAUGCUUCAAAGCCUAAAUAUCACACUGCUAAUUAUCUUCUUAUUAGUUUAAAUCAUCAUGGAUAAAAAUGAAAUGCUGCUGUGAAAACUGCCCCAUCAAACUGAACGUGGUUGUAGCUGUUUGCCUGGUGUGACCUGAGUAAAAGUGCUCUACUGUGCAUUUCUACUUUAGAAAAAUUCUUUAUGCCCUGAUUUCCAAGUUCGAAAAUAACUCUCUACAGAUGAAACACAUUUUUCACCCUUCAAAGAAGUGUUUUCACCUACAAAUACUCCUUGCUGCCUAAACAAGAGCCCUUUCCUUUACACUUGUGCCAACAUGUAACUUGGAUAAAGAAUUAAACUUAGAUUCUUAGUUAUAA
Pipra filicauda (Wire-tailed manakin) is the source of this 7913-nucleotide long non-coding RNA. RefSeq lists it as uncharacterized. The transcript is spliced from 3 exons. The record is from RefSeq and is a predicted model, not a curated record. Lineage: Eukaryota; Metazoa; Chordata; Aves; Passeriformes; Pipridae.